This 253-nucleotide ribosomal RNA is filed under the name uncultured bacterium. RNAcentral's name for it is "partial 16S ribosomal RNA". It matches the Rfam family "Bacterial small subunit ribosomal RNA", at positions 524 to 776 of the family's 1533-position model. The record is from RNAcentral.
GACGGAAGGUGCAAGCGUUGCUCGGAAUCACUGGGCUUAAAGCGUGUGUAGGCGGAUCGUUAAGUACCUUGUGAAAUCCCACGGCUCAACCGUGGAACUGCUGGGUAUACUGGCGGUCUUGAGCCACCUAGGGGCGAGCGGAACAAGCGGUGGAGCGGUGAAAUGCGUAGAUAUCGCUUGGAACGCCAACGGUGAAAACAGCUCGCUGGGGGUGUGCUGACGCUGAGACACGAAAGCCAGGGGAGCGAACGGG